RNAcentral lists this ribosomal RNA (169 nucleotides) under Klebsiella pneumoniae. Its description in RNAcentral is "partial 16S ribosomal RNA". It matches the Rfam family "Bacterial small subunit ribosomal RNA", at positions 1 to 165 of the family's 1533-position model. Lineage: Bacteria; Pseudomonadati; Pseudomonadota; Gammaproteobacteria; Enterobacterales; Enterobacteriaceae. The record is from RNAcentral.
AAAUUGAAGAGUUUGAUCAUGGCUCAGAUUGAACGCUGGCGGCAGGCCUAACACAUGCAAGUCGAGCGGUAGCACAGAGAGCUUGCUCUCGGGUGACGAGCGGCGGACGGGUGAGUAAUGUCUGGGAAACUGCCUGAUGGAGGGGGAUAACUACUGGAAACGGUAGCUA